This 468-nucleotide ribosomal RNA is filed under the name uncultured bacterium. RNAcentral describes it as "partial 16S ribosomal RNA". It matches the Rfam family "Bacterial small subunit ribosomal RNA", at positions 28 to 507 of the family's 1533-position model. The record is from RNAcentral.
GACGAACGCUGGCGGCGUGCUUAACACAUGCAAGUCGAACGGAAAGGCCCUGCUUUUGUGGGGUGCUCGAGUGGCGAACGGGUGAGUAACACGUGAGUAACCUGCCCUUGACUUUGGGAUAACUUCAGGAAACUGGGGCUAAUACCGGAUAGGAGCUCCUGCUGCAUGGUGGGGGUUGGAAAGUUUCGGCGGUUGGGGAUGGACUCGCGCCUUAUCAGCUUGUUGGUGGGGUAGUGGCUUACCAAGGCUUUGACGGGUAGCCGGCCUGAGAGGGUGACCGGCCACAUUGGGACUGAGAUACGGCCCAGACUCCUACGGGAGGCAGCAGUGGGGAAUAUUGCACAAUGGGCGGAAGCCUGAUGCAGCAACGCCGCGUGCGGGAUGACGGCCUUCGGGUUGUAAACCGCUUUCGCCUGUGACGAAGCGUGAGUGACGGUAAUGGGUAAAGAAGCACCGGCUAACUACGUG